UACGUAGGUGGCAAGCGUUGUCCGGAAUUACUGGGCGUAAAGGGCGAGUAGGCGGUAAUACAAGUCAGAUGUGAAAGGCGAGGGCUCAACCCUCGGAUUGCAUUUGAAACUGUAAGACUUGAGUGCGGUAGAGGAAAGUGGAAUUCCCAGUGUAGCGGUGAAAUGCGUAGAUAUUGGGAGGAACACCAGUGGCGAAGGCGACUUUCUGGGCCGUAACUGACGCUGAGGCGCGAAAGCGUGGGGAG
Molecule: ribosomal RNA, 245 nt
Filed under: uncultured Bacillota bacterium
Lineage: Bacteria; Bacillati; Bacillota
Description: uncultured Firmicutes bacterium partial 16S ribosomal RNA
Rfam family: Bacterial small subunit ribosomal RNA
Source: RNAcentral